RNAcentral lists this ribosomal RNA (255 nucleotides) under Klebsiella pneumoniae. Its description in RNAcentral is "partial 23S ribosomal RNA". It matches the Rfam family "Bacterial large subunit ribosomal RNA", at positions 1132 to 1386 of the family's 2925-position model. The record is from RNAcentral. RNAcentral also lists the same sequence under 3 other names. Lineage: Bacteria; Pseudomonadati; Pseudomonadota; Gammaproteobacteria; Enterobacterales; Enterobacteriaceae.
GCGUAAUAGCUCACUGGUCGAGUCGGCCUGCGCGGAAGAUGUAACGGGGCUAAACCAUGCACCGAAGCUGCGGCAGCGACACUAUGUGUUGUUGGGUAGGGGAGCGUUCUGUAAGCCUGCGAAGGUGGCCUGUGAGGGUUGCUGGAGGUAUCAGAAGUGCGAAUGCUGACAUAAGUAACGAUAAAGCGGGUGAAAAGCCCGCUCGCCGGAAGACCAAGGGUUCCUGUCCAACGUUAAUCGGGGCAGGGUGAGUCG